GGGGAACCCGCACAAGCGGUGGAUGAUGUGGAUUAAUUCGAUGCAACGCGAAGAACCUUACUACCCUUGACAUGUCCGGAACUUGCCAGAGAUGGCUUGGUGCCGAAAGGGAAUCGGAACACAGGUGCUGCAUGGCUGUCGUCAGCUCGUGUCGUGAGAUGUUGGGUUAAGUCCCGCAACGAGCGCAACCCUUAUCAUUAGUUGCUACGCAAGGGCACUCUAAUGAGACUGCCGGUGACAAACCGGAGGAAGGUGGGGAUGACGUCAAGUCCUCAUGGCCCUUAUGGGUAGGGCUUCACACGUCAUACAAUGGUCGGUACAGAGGGUUGCCAAGCCGCGAGGCGGAGCCAAUCCCACAAAGCCGAUCGUAGUCCGGAUUGUUCUCUGCAACUCGAGAGCAUGAAGUCGGAAUCGCUAGUAAUCGCAGGUCAGCAUACUGCGGUGAAUACGUUCCCGGGUCUU
RNAcentral lists this ribosomal RNA (462 nucleotides) under uncultured Thiobacillus sp. RNAcentral's name for it is "bacterial SSU rRNA". It matches the Rfam family "Bacterial small subunit ribosomal RNA", at positions 915 to 1382 of the family's 1533-position model. The record is from RNAcentral. Lineage: Bacteria; Pseudomonadati; Pseudomonadota; Betaproteobacteria; Nitrosomonadales; Thiobacillaceae.